RNAcentral lists this long non-coding RNA (945 nucleotides) under Salmo trutta (river trout). RNAcentral describes it as "lncRNA (ENSSTUG00000028651.1)". The record is from RNAcentral. Lineage: Eukaryota; Metazoa; Chordata; Actinopteri; Salmoniformes; Salmonidae.
AAAAAUGUUUCAUAUUUAAAGGAUUAUGCUCCUGUUAAAUUGACACUUGAUACAUUUGUCAUGGACAGAGAGCAGGUAGAUCGAAUCGUGGGGAGUCGCCACAUGUGAUAUGCAAACAAACACACACACACACACACACACACACACACAAGUUGACACAACUGUAGGUCUACCUGAAUGCUUGCGGUUUCCAGACCUUUGAAGCACGAACUAUUACUGUAGCGGUUGCCUGGCAGUGUCGGCAGUAUCAGCUGCAUCGCUUUCCCAUGGGACUGCCAGAGACUUAGAGAGCAAGAAAUAGAAGCAGGGAGAUGCUGCGCUGCGCUCCACUCACACAUUUGGCAAACCGCCCUUGUAGGCUAGCCUACUUCUCUCACCCUCGAGCUACUCUCCAAUCCUCCCUAAACCUAAUAGGUCAAUUCAACAGACAACCAAGAACGUGACUGCGUUAACGGAACGCAUGCAAGAAGCUCCGAGGUUCAUUUCAAAAAAAAGAUUUGCAAAGAUAUGCGUAAGCUGAGUUUUCAGUCGUGAUGCUGAGAGACAUUGUUGUAAAUCAACAACCUCGAGCGAGAGGAAAUUGACUUUCGACGGACAGGCGCAAACUCUUCUCAGCGUCAAAGACUGAUGGUUAUUGCUACAGAGCAGGUUCCCGUGGCAGGGCUGAGGAGGGAUGCUCUUGGGGGAGUGCAGUAGUACCAGUAGGUUGCUGGAGGCUCUGUGUGGCAGGAGAAGGGUAGUGGUGUCGGCCAUGAAGCUGCCCUGCUCCUUCUACUGUUCCCUCUGGUUCCUCCUGCUCCUGGGGGCCGCGUCCUUACUCCUCCUAGUCCACCUCCAGGGCCUCUCAGACAUGCUCCAGCAACAGACCCCAGAAGUAUAUCCGGUUGUGAUCUCUGCAAACAACGUUUUCCCUCCGAGAAUGAGAACGGUAAAUGACUGUAGGCC